GAUGAACGCUGGCGGCGUGCGUAACACAUGCAAGUUGGACGACGGUGCCAUGAAGUGGUAACACGGAAUGGUAUACGGAGUAGCGGACGGGUGAGUAAAGCAUGAGGAGCUGUCCUGUUGAGGGGGAUAACGUUCGGAAACGGACCCUAAUACCCCAUAGGCCGAGAGGUUAAAGGCAGAGAUGCGCGACAGGAGGUACUCGUGUCCUAUCAGCUGGUUGGUGAGGUAACGGCUCACCAAGGCGACGACGGGUAGCCGGCCUGAGAGGGUGACCGGCCACACUGGAACUGAGACACGGUCCAGACUCCUACGGGAGGCAGCAGUGGGGAAUAUUGGGCAAUGGGAGAAAUCCUGACCCAGCGACGCCGCGUGAACGAAGACGGCCUUCGGGUUGUAAAGUUCUUUUAUGUGGGAAGAAGGAAGUGACGGUACCACAUGAAUAAGCCCC
Molecule: ribosomal RNA, 448 nt
Filed under: Synergistetes bacterium oral taxon 362
Lineage: Bacteria; Thermotogati; Synergistota
Description: bacterial SSU rRNA
Rfam family: Bacterial small subunit ribosomal RNA
Source: RNAcentral